Molecule: ribosomal RNA, 729 nt
Filed under: uncultured bacterium
Lineage: Bacteria
Description: bacterial SSU rRNA
Rfam family: Bacterial small subunit ribosomal RNA
Source: RNAcentral
CUUCUUUUUCCACCGGAGCUUGCUCCACCGGAAAAAGAGGAGUGGCGAACGGGUGAGUAACACGUGGGUAACCUGCCCAUCAGAAGGGGAUAACACUUGGAAACAGGUGCUAAUACCGUAUAACAAUCAAAACCGCAUGGUUUUGAUUUGAAAGGCGCUUUCGGGUGUCGCUGAUGGAUGGACCCGCGGUGCAUUAGCUAGUUGGUGAGGUAACGGCUCACCAAGGCCACGAUGCAUAGCCGACCUGAGAGGGUGAUCGGCCACAUUGGGACUGAGACACGGCCCAAACUCCUACGGGAGGCAGCAGUAGGGAAUCUUCGGCAAUGGACGAAAGUCUGACCGAGCAACGCCGCGUGAGUGAAGAAGGUUUUCGGAUCGUAAAACUCUGUUGUUAGAGAAGAACAAGGAUGAGAGUAACUGUUCAUCCCUUGACGGUAUCUAACCAGAAAGCCACGGCUAACUACGUGCCAGCAGCCGCGGUAAUACGUAGGUGGCAAGCGUUGUCCGGAUUUAUUGGGCGUAAAGCGAGCGCAGGCGGUUUCUUAAGUCUGAUGUGAAAGCCCCCGGCUCAACCGGGGAGGGUCAUUGGAAACUGGGAGACUUGAGUGCAGAAGAGGAGAGUGGAAUUCCAUGUGUAGCGGUGAAUGCGUAGAUAUAUGGAGGAACACAGUGGCGAAGGCGCUCUCUGGUCUGUACUGACGCUGAGCUCGAAGCGUGGGAGCAACAGAU